This 478-nucleotide ribosomal RNA is filed under the name uncultured bacterium. RNAcentral describes it as "partial 16S ribosomal RNA". It matches the Rfam family "Bacterial small subunit ribosomal RNA", at positions 28 to 507 of the family's 1533-position model. The record is from RNAcentral.
GAUGAACGCUGGCGGCGUGCCUAACACAUGCAAGUCGAACGGAGUCCAGCCUUUAAGACCUUCGGGUCAAAGAGGGGAAGACUGAGUGGCGGACGGGUGAGUAACACGUGGGCAACCUGGCUCAUAGAGGGGGAUAACAGAGAGAAAUUUCUGCUACUACCGCAUAAGCACACACUGCCGCAUGGCAGCGGGUGAAAAGAGAAUCGCUAUGAGAUGGACCCGCGUCUGAUUAGCUCGUUGGCAGGGUAAGCGCCUACCAAAGCGACGAUCAGUAGCCGAUCGGAGAGGAUGAACGGCCACAGUGGGACUGAGACACGGCCCAAACUCCUACGGGAGGCAGCAGUGGGGGAUAUUGCACAAUGGGGGGAACCCUGAUGCAGCGACGCCGCGUGAGUGAAGAAGUAUUUCGGUAUGUAAAGCUCUAUAAGCAGGGAAGAUAAUGACAGUACCUGAAGAAGAAGCCCCGGCUAACUACGUG